GACGAACGCUGGCGGCGUGCCUAAUACAUGCAAGUAGAACGCUGAAGGCGGACUUUUCUUCUCUGGAUGAGUUGCGAACGGGUGAGUAACGCGUAGGUAACCUGCCUGUUAGCGGGGGAUAACUUUUGGAAACGAUAGCUAAUACCGCAUAAGGGCAGAUGCUGCAUGACAUUUGCUUAAAAGUUGCAAUUGCAUCACUACCAGUUGGACCUGCGUUGUAUUAGCUAGUUGUUGAGGUAACGGCUCACUAAGGCAACGAUGCAUAGCCGAACGGAGAGGGUGAUCGGCCACACUGGGACUGAGACAGGGCCCAGAGUGCUACAGAAAGCAGCAGGAGGGAAACGUCGGCAAUGGACGGAAGUCAGAGCGAGAAACGCCGCAGGAGGAAAGAAGGUUUUCGGAUCGGAAAGCACUGUUGUAAGAGAAGAACGAGUGUGAGAGUGGAAAGUACACAGUGUGACGGUAACUUACCAGAAAGGAACGGCUAACUACGUG
RNAcentral lists this ribosomal RNA (495 nucleotides) under uncultured bacterium. RNAcentral describes it as "partial 16S ribosomal RNA". It matches the Rfam family "Bacterial small subunit ribosomal RNA", at positions 28 to 507 of the family's 1533-position model. The record is from RNAcentral.